UUAAGGAUAAGAGACUGUCUUGAUAUUUUCAGUGUAAAACUUGAUUUUAUUUUUUCUUUCAGGCUACCCCUAGUGGUUGGUCCUUGCCUAUUAAGGCUAUGGCCAGAUCCCCACCCCUUUGGGCCAUUUGUGUAUCUAUAUUUUGUCAGUCUUAUGCUGUUAACAUCAUGGGGUUAAUGUUGCCAACCCUGAUCAAGAAUAUGUUUGAUUUUGACCUCAGAAAUGUUUUCCUGGUCUUCUGAACCUGACUGAGGAGAACCACAAAGAAGAGUUGCAUGCUUGAUUAAGAGACUCUUAAGGUUGGAAGGAACUUCAGAAGCCAUCCUGAACAAGAAUCCUUCUCUACAACAUACAUAAUGAGUUAUCAUCUAGCCUUUAAUUGAAGAUCUCUAGGUAGCUAGGAAAUGCAGUGGACAGAGUGCUAGCUUUGAAGUCCAGAAAUCCCAAGCUCAAAUCAGACCUCAGACACCUCCUGGCUGUAUGAUCCUGGGCAAGACAUUGCCUCAAUUUUCUCAUCUAAAAAUGGAUGUAAGAAUGGUACCUACCUCUCAGGUGGUUGUGAGGAUCAAAUAAAAUAACAUAUUUAAAGCA
RNAcentral lists this long non-coding RNA (591 nucleotides) under Phascolarctos cinereus (koala). RNAcentral's name for it is "lncRNA (ENSPCIG00000003376.2)". The record is from RNAcentral. Lineage: Eukaryota; Metazoa; Chordata; Mammalia; Diprotodontia; Phascolarctidae.